AAGCCAUGAUGAGGUUCCACUUCAGGUCCGUGUUUCUGAAUCCUGAUUUUAAUUGGAGUCCUGAGCUU
Small nucleolar RNA from Hucho hucho (huchen), 68 nucleotides. Its record names the gene SNORD18. It matches the Rfam family "Small nucleolar RNA SNORD18". Rfam says of the family: U18 is a member of the C/D class of snoRNA which contain the C (UGAUGA) and D (CUGA) box motifs. It is encoded in introns of ribosomal protein L1 in Xenopus and human, and in introns of elongation factor 1 beta in yeast. The record is from Ensembl. NCBI's taxonomy places the organism in Eukaryota, Metazoa, Chordata, Actinopteri, Salmoniformes, Salmonidae.